RNAcentral lists this ribosomal RNA (274 nucleotides) under uncultured bacterium. RNAcentral describes it as "partial 16S ribosomal RNA". It matches the Rfam family "Bacterial small subunit ribosomal RNA", at positions 523 to 796 of the family's 1533-position model. The record is from RNAcentral.
AUACGGAGGGUGCAAGCGUUACUCGGAAUCACUGGGCGUAAAGCGCGCGCAGGCGGUCUUUUAAGUUGGAUGUGAAAGCCUACGGCUCAACCGUAGAACUGCAUCCAAAACUAUUAGACUAGAGUGUGGGAGAGGAAGAUGGAAUUAGUUGUGUAGGGGUAAAAUCCGUAGAGAUAACUAGGAAUACCAAAAGCGAAGGCAAUCUUCUGGAACACUACUGACACUGAGGCGCGAAAGCGUGGGGAGCAAACAGGAUUAGAAACCCCAGUAGUCC